Molecule: ribosomal RNA, 484 nt
Filed under: uncultured Planctomycetota bacterium
Lineage: Bacteria; Pseudomonadati; Planctomycetota
Description: bacterial SSU rRNA
Rfam family: Bacterial small subunit ribosomal RNA
Source: RNAcentral
AACGAACGCUAGCGGUGUGGAUUAGGCAUGCAAGUCGUGCGCGAAAGUCUUCGGACGAGUAAAGCGGCGAAAGGGUGAGUAACACGUAACCAACGUACCCUCCAGAUUGGAAUAACCACCGGAAACGGUGGGUAAUGCCAAAUGGUCCUCUGCUGGGCAUCCAGCGGAAGGUAAACGGCGGCUCUGCUGCUGCUGGGGGAGCGGGUUGCGGCCUAUCAGCUUGUUGGUGGGGUAACGGCCUACCAAGGCUAUGACGGGUAGCGGGUCUGAGAGGAUGAUCCGUCACACUGGGACUGAGACACUGCCCAGACUCCUACGGGAGGCUGCAGUCGAGAAUCUUCCACAAUGGGCGAAAGCCUGAUGGAGCGACACCGCGUGCAGGAUGAAGGCCCUAGGGUUGUAAACUGCUGUCACGCAAUAGGAACCCACGGUGGUGAAUAGUCAUCGUGCUGACUAAAGCGAGAGGAAGCGCCGGCUAACUUCG